This 2090-nucleotide long non-coding RNA is filed under the name Nicotiana benthamiana. Its description in RNAcentral is "long non-coding RNA (NBEN_LNC039450)". Lineage: Eukaryota; Viridiplantae; Streptophyta; Magnoliopsida; Solanales; Solanaceae. The record is from RNAcentral.
AAUGAACUAUACCCUUCUGAUUAUAACCGAUAACAAAGACUUUUCAUAUCUAGAAAAAACAAACCCCAUUCUAAUACAAAUAAAUAGAUAUAAUUAUAUUAAAAAUAAUAGCUUUGCACCAACAGAAUAACCAUCAUAAAACCUCGCUUUCAAGAACAGGCUAUUGCCCUUUUCAAUCUAAUGCAUUCUAUUUCUCAAAACUAAAAUUAUAGGCGGAAGAUCAAAACAACAAAACUUUGCCACAUGACUAGACAUAUGCAUAACAAACGUGUGAAUGACUUAAAUAACAUUCAACAUACACAAAGUCUCAAAUGUCCUGAACUACUCACAAAUCAGCCAAACUAUCAGACCACACGUAUUCAUUAAGACAAGGUGCAACAUAAAUUUUUCUAAGAAAUGUGAACUAUUGCUAUAUCAAAAUGAACAUGCAAGGAUAAGUACUAUUACACUACAUUACUAACUUCAAAAAUUCUAAGUAAAUAGAAAACAUUGAUAAUUAAAGAAAACAAUAUUUAUUCAUGUAAUCUUCAUGCUUAUAACAUUCAUACUUGCAGCUCAUCUUAUAUCGAAACAGGUAAUACAUGAAAAUCAAACAUGAAAAACCGAGAUGUGAAAUCAAGGGCCAGAAAAGGGGAUCAGCAACUGAACAACUGCCGGAAAACACCAAAAGGAAAUAGCUGAGCAUAACUGUGUUAAAAAAAAUACAGGCAAAAUCACCCGAACAAACAUCAGAACCAAGCCUCCAAACCCAAUUUCAAUCAAUUUUUGAACUAUAUUAACCUAGAAACCUUUACACGAAGAAAGAACUUAAGAAACUACAAAGGAUUGGCAAUGGAACAGUUAGCUUUUUGCCCUUUUGUUCUUAUUUCUGAUUCUUUAGCUCUUCAAAAUUUGCAUUGAGUCUUUCUUAGCUAUGCCUUUAUAGGCAAACUACUAGGGCAUCUGAAAUACACUAAAAUUUUAACUUUAGACCUUUCACAAUUUUUCUUUUUGUUAUUUAAUCCGUAGAUUAUUGACUUGUUGGCCAAAUAAAGAAUAUUUUCAGCUUCCAGGAAGCUUCUCAAAGCAGUUACAGCAAGAUUCUCUAAGUACAUAACCCCAAUUACCCCUAAGUGCCCAGAACUUUACAGUGGAUUCAAAUGGGGUAAGGGUCAACAGACAGGCUUUCAAUAAUUAGACCUUCAUUCAAUGGGCUGGUACUGACAAAACCUCGAGGCCAAUCCAAAAUAAACUUAAAGAGAAGGCACCCCAAACAAAAAAAACUGAGACGUCACAAUUAAUCAAAUCUUCUUCGCAUCUCUUUUUUUUUUUAAUAAAACACUUUUAAAAGAGUAAAAGAAAAUGUUAAUUAACACUAAAUUCAUGAGCAGCAAUUCUGACUGAAGCAAAAUGAGAAGGAGGAAGAGUUUAAUGGCUAACAAUUGAGUUUUAAUGUGAGAAAGAAAAGGAAUGAAAGUAACGAUGGAGCCCAGUUAACCGUCGAAAUUCCCAAAAACAAAGACGACUCUGACUCGAACUUGAACUCCAGCAAAUCCAAGGCUUGAAAAACGCUGAGAAUUGUGACAUGAAUAUUAGCCGAAAUUUUGUUCAUGGCUAAUAAUUCAUACAACAAUCCACACAACGUACCAAGAAAGGAGCGUAGUAGAAUCUUGAAGAAGUUGAAUCAUUUCCAGGAUACGCAUCCAAAAUCUGGCCAAAAUCGAAGGAUAGAGCAUUCUUGACAAUAACAAUUCUUUACUUGAUGAAGAACUGGGGAAUUCUUGCAUGUAUCAACACGAACUCAGGAUUUAAACCAAAAAUUGGAGUAGAAUGAAGAAAGUUUCGAUCUUUAUUUUCUUGAUCGUAAUUUUUUGGGGAAAUCAAGGGCAUGAUGUGAAUGAGGAGAUGCUGAGUAUAGGGAAGCUAAGAUUUGGGGGUGUUUUGAGGAGCUCCGCCGUCGUGAGAUGAUUUUCGAACGGCGGAGCUACGGUGGAGACAGACGGCGAUUUAAGAGGAAAAGGUAAAUUUUGGGACUCUAUUAAACGAUAGACUGGGAAAACUUGGUCGUUUAAUGCUGAAGGAAUACCUAAACAACGUAGUUUAGCAUUGAU